GACGAACGCUGGCGGCGUGCCUAAUACAUGCAAGUCGAACGAGAGCGACCGGUGCUUGCACUGGUCAAUCUAGUGGCGAACGGGUGAGUAACACGUGGGUAACCUGCCCAUCAGAGGGGGAUAACAUCCGGAAACGGAUGCUAAAACCGCAUAGGUCUUCGAACCGCAUGGUUUGAAGAGGAAAAGAGGCGCAAGCUUCUGCUGAUGGAUGGACCCGCGGUGCAUUAGCUAGUUGGUGAGGUAACGGCUCACCAAGGCCGUGAUGCAUAGCCGACCUGAGAGGGUGAUCGGCCACAUUGGGACUGAGACACGGCCCAAACUCCUACGGUAGGCAGCAGUAGGGAAUCUUCCGCAAUGGACGCAAGUCUGACAGAGCAACGCCGCGUGAGUGAAGAAGGUUUUCGGAUCGUAAAACUCUGUUGUUAGAGAAGAACAAGUGCUAGAGUAACUGUUAGCGCCUUGACGGUAUCUAACCAGAAAGCCACGGCUAACUACGUG
This 498-nucleotide ribosomal RNA is filed under the name uncultured bacterium. RNAcentral's name for it is "partial 16S ribosomal RNA". It matches the Rfam family "Bacterial small subunit ribosomal RNA", at positions 28 to 507 of the family's 1533-position model. The record is from RNAcentral.